Molecule: ribosomal RNA, 498 nt
Filed under: uncultured bacterium
Lineage: Bacteria
Description: partial 16S ribosomal RNA
Rfam family: Bacterial small subunit ribosomal RNA
Source: RNAcentral
AUUGAACGCUGGCGGCAUGCCUUACACAUGCAAGUCGAACGGUAACAGGUCUUCGGAUGCUGACGAGUGGCGAACGGGUGAGUAAUACAUCGGAACGUGCCUAGUAGUGGGGGAUAACUACUCGAAAGAGUGACUAAUACCGCAUGAGAUCUACGGAUGAAAGCAGGGGAUCGCAAGACCUUGUGCUACUAGAGCGGCCGAUGGCAGAUUAGGUAGUUGGUGGGAUAAAAGCUUACCAAGCCGACGAUCUGUAGCUGGUCUGAGAGGACGAUCAGCCACACUGGGACUGAGACACGGCCCAGACUCCUACGGGAGGCAGCAGUAGGGAAUUUUGGACAAUGGGCGAAAGCCUGAUCCAGCAAUGCCGCGUGCAGGAUGAAGGCCUUCGGGUUGUAAACUGCUUUUGUACGGAACGAAAAGCCCCGGGUUAAUACCCUGGGGUCAUGACGGUACCGUAAGAAUAAGCACCGGCUAACUACGUGCCAGCAGCCGCCGUAA